GGAGCGUUCUGUAAGCCUGCGAAGGUGUGCUGUGAGGCAUGCUGGAGGUAUCAGAAGUGCGAAUGCUGACAUAAGUAACGAUAAAGCGGGUGAAAAGCCCGCUCGCCGGAAGACCAAGGGUUCCUGUCCAACGUUAAUCGGGGCAGGGUGAGUCGACCCCUAAGGCGAGGCCGAAAGGCGUAGUCGAUGGGAAACAGGUUAAUAUUCCUGUACUUGGUGUUACUGCGAAGGGGGGACGGAGAAGGCUAUGUUGGCCGGGCGACGGUUGUCCCGGUUU
RNAcentral lists this ribosomal RNA (277 nucleotides) under Shigella sonnei. RNAcentral describes it as "partial 23S ribosomal RNA". It matches the Rfam family "Bacterial large subunit ribosomal RNA", at positions 1233 to 1513 of the family's 2925-position model. The record is from RNAcentral. Lineage: Bacteria; Pseudomonadati; Pseudomonadota; Gammaproteobacteria; Enterobacterales; Enterobacteriaceae.